UAUCAACAGAGUAGGUCCAGUUUGGGCUGGUCCCACAGCUACACAUGUUCCAGCCACCGAAAGACUGUGGGUAAAACAUCUGUUGAAUAAAACCUAACAUGAGCUACAGAUGUGUGUCAUACAAGUAAACAUGGCAUUUGUAAUUUUAAACUUUAUAGCAGUCACAUUAAAAAAGAAGAUAAAAUUAAUUUCAAUAAUAUAUUUGAUUCAGCCCCAAAUAUCCCAGAAUCCAUUGUUUUAAUGUGUAAUUAGUAUAAAAUAUUAAGGGUACACUUUAUUUUUCUUUUUUUCUUUUUUCUUUUUUGUUUUGAAACAGAGUCUUGUUGCCCAGGCUGGAGUGUAGUGGUGUAAUCUCAGCUCACUGCAGCAUCUGCCUCCUGGAUUCAAGCAAGUCUCAUGCCUCAGAAGAAUCCCCCAGUAGCUGGGAUUACAGGAAGACAAGGAAAGUGUUCCGUACCAUUUCACCACUGAGGAAACUGAGUCUAGAGGAGUUACAUUUUCUGCUGAAGAUCACAUAGCCAAUGGAACUUGUUUCUGCCUCCCAGACAAUUUUCUGCUGUCAUCUCAAGGAGGUGAGUCAGACAUUUCUCCUGGACUCCCAUAUACUGAUGACAUCCAAUAUUUUGCAAAUGGAAAUAUGCAAGAAAGGUGCUCAUAAAUAAAUAAUGAACACUGCUCAUCAUGAUUUUCUGUGGCGCUUUCUCACUGUCCCAAGUGCUAUAAGGCCAGCCUAAUGAGCCUCUUGUGACCACAGGAGGAACACGGUUCAGAGACGGUAAGUGCUUUUUAUUGAGAUGUAUAAUUUCCCUCUUAAAUUCAUUAAAAGUUUCUAAAACAAAUAAAUAAAACAUAAUUGAUACAGAUCCAGCCUCCUUUUCUUCCAUAGAUCAUUAAGAAGUUGUAAUUGCUUCUCAGCCCUCAGGAAGCUCUCAUCUCUAAGAAUAGAGUGUUAGUUGUGACUCCCUGGCAAUUGUUAUUAUUCUGAGAAAUUAAUUUACUCUAAUUAGUUUUAAGCCCAUUAACAGAAAUAGAAAGCCAUGCAAGGAAAGGGAGGUCUGAAAACAACAUUUUCCUCAGCCCAUUGUAAGAACUUUCCAUGUGCUUAACAAUUUGGCCAGUGGAAUUCAAACCUUGUUAAAAUCCAAACAAAACACAUAUAAAUCAAGAUAUAACUAGUAUGGCUCCUAAACGGCACAUUAGCU
This 1202-nucleotide long non-coding RNA is filed under the name Callithrix jacchus (white-tufted-ear marmoset). RNAcentral describes it as "lncRNA (ENSCJAG00000070143.1)". The record is from RNAcentral. Lineage: Eukaryota; Metazoa; Chordata; Mammalia; Primates; Cebidae.